GAUGAACGCUGGCGGCGUGCCUAAUACAUGCAAGUCGAGCGAACAGACGAGGAGCUUGCUCCUCUGACGUUAGCGGCGGACGGGUGAGUAACACGUGGAUAACCUACCUAUAAGACUGGGAUAACUUCGGGAAACCGGAGCUAAUACCGGAUAAUAUAUUGAACCGCAUGGUUCAAUAGUGAAAGACGGUUUUGCUGUCACUUAUAGAUGGAUCCGCGCCGCAUUAGCUAGUUGGUAAGGUAACGGCUUACCAAGGCAACGAUGCGUAGCCGACCUGAGAGGGUGAUCCGCCACACUGGAACUGAGACACGGUCCAGACUCCUACGGGAGGCAGCAGUAGGGAAUCUUCCGAGAUGGGCGAAAGCCUGACGGAGCAACGCCGCGUGAGUGAAGAAGGUCUUCGGAUCGUAAAACUCUGUUAUUAGGGAAGAACAAAUGUGUAAGUAACUAUGCACGUCUUGACGGUACCUAAUCAGAAAGCCACGGCUAACUACGUG
This 497-nucleotide ribosomal RNA is filed under the name uncultured bacterium. RNAcentral describes it as "partial 16S ribosomal RNA". It matches the Rfam family "Bacterial small subunit ribosomal RNA", at positions 28 to 507 of the family's 1533-position model. The record is from RNAcentral.